This 1369-nucleotide ribosomal RNA is filed under the name uncultured bacterium. Its description in RNAcentral is "bacterial SSU rRNA". It matches the Rfam family "Bacterial small subunit ribosomal RNA", at positions 28 to 1381 of the family's 1533-position model. The record is from RNAcentral.
GAUGAACGCUGGCGGCGUGCCUAAUACAUGCAAGUCGAGCGAACGGACGAGAAGCUUGCUUCUCUGAUGUUAGCGGCGGACGGGUGAGUAACACGUGGAUAACCUACCUAUAAGACUGGGAUAACUUCGGGAAACCGGAGCUAAUACCGGAUAAUAUUUUGAACCGCAUGGUUCAAAAGUGAAAGACGGUCUUGCUGUCACUUAUAGAUGGAUCCGCGCUGCAUUAGCUAGUUGGUAAGGUAACGGCUUACCAAGGCAACGAUGCGUAGCCGACCUGAGAGGGUGAUCGGCCACACUGGAACUGAGACACGGUCCAGACUCCUACGGGAGGCAGCAGUAGGGAAUCUUCCGNCAUGGGCGAAAGCCUGACGGAGNCACGCCGCGUGAGUGAUGAAGGUCUUCGGAUCGUNAAACUCUGUUAUUANGGAAGAACAUAUGUGUAAGUAACUGUGCACAUCUUGACGGUACCCUAUCAGAAAGCCACGGCUAACUACGUGCCAGCAGCCCGCGUUAAUACGUAGUUGGAAGCGUUAUCCGGGAAUUAUUGGGCGUAACGCGCGUAGCGGUUUUUUAGUCUGAUGUGAAAGCCCACGGCUCAACCGUGGAGGGUCAUUGGAAACUGGAAAACUUGAGUGCAGAAGAGGAAAGUGGAAUUCCAUGUGUAGCGGUGAAAUGCGCAGAGAUAUGGAGGAACACCAGUGGCGAAGGCGACUUUCUGGUCUGUAACUGACGCUGAUGUGCGAAAGCGUGGGGAUCAAACAGGAUUAGAUACCCUGGUAGUCCACGCCGUAAACGAUGAGUGCUAAGUGUUAGGGGGUUUCCGCCCCUUAGUGCUGCAGCUAACGCAUUAAGCACUCCGCCUGGGGAGUACGACCGCAAGGUUGAAACUCAAAGGAAUUGACGGGGACCCGCACAAGCGGUGGAGCAUGUGGUUUAAUUCGAAGCAACGCGAAGAACCUUACCAAAUCUUGACAUCCUUUGACAACUCUAGAGAUAGAGCCUUCCCCUUCGGGGGACAAAGUGACAGGUGGUGCAUGGUUGUCGUCAGCUCGUGUCGUGAGAUGUUGGGUUAAGUCCCGCAACGAGCGCAACCCUUAAGCUUAGUUGCCAUCAUUAAGUUGGGCACUCUAAGUUGACUGCCGGUGACAAACCGGAGGAAGGUGGGGAUGACGUCAAAUCAUCAUGCCCCUUAUGAUUUGGGCUACACACGUGCUACAAUGGACAAUACAAAGGGCAGCGAAACCGCGAGGUCAAGCAAAUCCCAUAAAGUUGUUCUCAGUUCGGAUUGUAGUCUGCAACUCGACUACAUGAAGCUGGAAUCGCUAGUAAUCGUAGAUCAGCAUGCUACGGUGAAUACGUUCCCGGGUCU